Molecule: long non-coding RNA, 676 nt
Organism: Drosophila navojoa
Lineage: Eukaryota; Metazoa; Arthropoda; Insecta; Diptera; Drosophilidae
Gene: Magi
Source: RefSeq, a predicted model, not a curated record
GAGCGUUAGCUGAGCAACAGGUAUACGCGCAACGAGUAUCGAUAGUACUUGAAGCAGAAUAUCGUUUAGUUGUAAUUGAGAUUUCAUUUGAUUCGGUUGGGCCGCGCGUGUGCUUAAUCUUGACAGAUUUCCAGCGGGAAAAAAUAAAUCGUAGUGUGAUCCAAAAUACACAUUGCCCUUUUGAAUUUGUUAAAAAGUUGUGUACAAAGAAUGUGCGAAUUGGAUAAAGUCAAAGCAAGUCACGACUAGUUUUUACCAAAAGCAACUAUCUUCGGCGCAGGUGCAACGCGUUUCUUUAGCGUGUGAGUUUUUUUUUUUUAAAGGUACCAAAGCAAUAACAAGUUCAAGCAUAUCCAUAAUAUCGUCUUACAAAAAUUUGUAAGUGUGUGCGAGUGUCUGUGUGUCUGAUGCUGUUGUAGUGUGCGUGUUGCGCAGUUUUGAAAACGCGUUUGCGGUUUUUCUCGCUCCGAAAUGGAAAGUGCCAGCCGCUUGGCUGCUCCUGCGUUUGUUGUGAUACACCCGAUCACAUUAUUGAUCGAUUGUCGAUCAAUCUAAACAUAAAUCGAAUCACAAACAAAGAGUUUUAGGCAACGUUUGCUCAAUGCACGUUAGAUAAUGCGCGGAUGAUGUCAAAUGUGCUCGAUGAAUAACUAAAGUCCAAUGACAUUGUGAACAC